CUUCAGGGAGCCCAGCCACAGCGGUCGGCCGUCGGCGCGUUCGCGCCCGUAGGUGGCGAGCAGGGCCUGCGCCUC
RNAcentral lists this antisense RNA (75 nucleotides) under Streptomyces cyaneogriseus subsp. noncyanogenus. RNAcentral's name for it is "ASpks TB sRNA". It matches the Rfam family "ASpks TB sRNA". Lineage: Bacteria; Bacillati; Actinomycetota; Actinomycetes; Kitasatosporales; Streptomycetaceae. The record is from Rfam by way of RNAcentral.